RNAcentral lists this ribosomal RNA (253 nucleotides) under uncultured bacterium. RNAcentral's name for it is "partial 16S ribosomal RNA". It matches the Rfam family "Bacterial small subunit ribosomal RNA", at positions 524 to 776 of the family's 1533-position model. The record is from RNAcentral.
UACGUAGGGCGCAAGCGUUAUCCGGAAUUAUUGGGCGUAAAGAGCUCGUAGGCGGUUUGUCGCGUCUGCCGUGAAAGUCCGGGGCUCAACUCCGGAUCUGCGGUGGGUACGGGCAGACUAGAGUGAUGUAGGGGAGACUGGAAUUCCUGGUGUAGCGGUGAAAUGCGUAGAUAUCAGGAGGAACACCGGUGGUGUAGACGGCUCUCUGGACCGUAACUGACGCUGAGGCACGAAAGCGUGGGUAGCAAACAGG